GGGUUGUGAGGUUAAGCGACUAAGCGUACACGGUGGAUGCCCUGGCAGUCAGAGGCGAUGAAGGACGUGCUAAUCUGCGAAAAGCGCCGGCGAGGUGAUAUGAACCUUUGACCCGGCGAUGUCCGAAUGGGGAAACCCAGUGUGUUCCGACACACUAUCGUUAACUGAAUACAUAGGUUAACGAGGCGAACCGGGGGAACUGAAACAUCUAAGUACCCCGAGGAAAAGAAAUCAACCGAGAUUCCCCCAGUAGCGGCGAGCGAACGGGGAGCAGCCCAGAGUCUGAAUCAGCUUGUGUGUUAGUGGAAGCGUCUGGAAAGUCGCACGGUACAGGGUGACAGUCCCGUACACGAAAGCACACAGGUUGUGAACUCGAAGAGUAGGGCGGGACACGUGGUAUCCUGUCUGAAUAUGGGGGGACCAUCCUCCAAGGCUAAAUACUCCUGACUGACCGAUAGUGAACCAGUACCGUGAGGGAAAGGCGAAAAGAACCCCGGCGAGGGGAGUGAAAAAGAACCUGAAACCGUGUACGUACAAGCAGUGGGAGCACCUUCGUGGUGUGACUGCGUACCUUUUGUAUAAUGGGUCAGCGACUUAUAUUCUGUAGCAAGGUUAACCGUAUAGGGGAGCCGAAGGGAAACCGAGUCUUAACUGGGCGUUAAGUUGCAGGGUAUAGACCCGAAACCCGGUGAUCUAGCCAUGGGCAGGUUGAAGGUUGGGUAACACUAACUGGAGGACCGAACCGACUAAUGUUGAAAAAUUAGCGGAUGACUUGUGGCUGGGGGUGAAAGGCCAAUCAAACCGGGAGAUAGCUGGUUCUCCCCGAAAGCUAUUUAGGUAGCGCCUCGUGAACUCAUCUUCGGGGGUAGAGCACUGUUUCGGCUAGGGGGCCAUCCCGGCUUACCAACCCGAUGCAAACUACGAAUACCGAAGAAUGUUAUCACGGGAGACACACGGCGGGUGCUAACGUCCGUCGUGAAGAGGGAAACAACCCAGACCGCCAGCUAAGGUCCCAAAGUCAUGGUUAAGUGGGAAACGAUGUGGGAAGGCACAGACAGCCAGGAUGUUGGCUUAGAAGCAGCCAUCAUUUAAAGAAAGCGUAAUAGCUCACUGGUCGAGUCGGCCUGCGCGGAAGAUGUAACGGGGCUAAACCAUGCACCGAAGCUGCGGCAGCGACGCGUAUGCGUUGUUGGGUAGGGGAGCGUUCUGUAAGCCGUUGAAGGUGGCCUGUGAGGGUUGCUGGAGGUAUCAGAAGUGCGAAUGCUGACAUAAGUAACGAUAAAGCGGGUGAAAAGCCCGCUCGCCGGAAGACCAAGGGUUCCUGUCCAACGUUAAUCGGGGCAGGGUGAGUCGACCCCUAAGGCGAGGCCGAAAGGCGUAGUCGAUGGGAAGCAGGUUAAUAUUCCUGUACUUGGUGUUACUGCGAAGGGGGGACGGAGAAGGCUAUGUUAGCCGGGCGACGGUUGUCCCGGUUUAAGCAUGUAGGCGGAACGAUUAGGUAAAUCCGGUCGUUUUUUAACGCUGAGGUGUGAUGACGAGGCACUACGGUGCUGAAGUAACAAAUGCCCUGCUUCCAGGAAAAGCCUCUAAGCAUCAGGUAACAUUAAAUCGUACCCCAAACCGACACAGGUGGUCAGGUAGAGAAUACCAAGGCGCUUGAGAGAACUCGGGUGAAGGAACUAGGCAAAAUGGUGCCGUAACUUCGGGAGAAGGCACGCUGAUAUGUAGGUGAAGCCCCUGCGGGUGGAGCUGAAAUCAGUCGAAGAUACCAGCUGGCUGCAACUGUUUAUUAAAAACACAGCACUGUGCAAACACGAAAGUGGACGUAUACGGUGUGACGCCUGCCCGGUGCCGGAAGGUUAAUUGAUGGGGUUAGCGGCAACGCGAAGCUCUUGAUCGAAGCCCCGGUAAACGGCGGCCGUAACUAUAACGGUCCUAAGGUAGCGAAAUUCCUUGUCGGGUAAGUUCCGACCUGCACGAAUGGCGUAAUGAUGGCCAGGCUGUCUCCACCCGAGACUCAGUGAAAUUGAACUCGCUGUGAAGAUGCAGUGUACCCGCGGCAAGACGGAAAGACCCCGUGAACCUUUACUAUAGCUUGACACUGAACACUGGUCCUUGAUGUGUAGGAUAGGUGGGAGGCUUUGAAGUGUGGACGCCAGUCUGCAUGGAGCCGUCCUUGAAAUACCACCCUUUAAUGGCUGGUGUUCUAACGUAGACCCGUAAUCCGGGUUGCGGACAGUGUCUGGUGGGUAGUUUGACUGGGGCGGUCUCCUCCCAAAGAGUAACGGAGGAGCACGAAGGUUAGCUAAUCCUGGUCGGACAUCAGGAGGUUAGUGCAAUGGCAUAAGCUAGCUUGACUGCGAGAGUGACGGCUCGAGCAGGUGCGAAAGCAGGUCAUAGUGAUCCGGUGGUUCUGAAUGGAAGGGCCAUCGCUCAACGGAUAAAAGGUACUCCGGGGAUAACAGGCUGAUACCGCCCAAGAGUUCAUAUCGACGGCGGUGUUUGGCACCUCGAUGUCGGCUCAUCACAUCCUGGGGCUGAAGUAGGUCCCAAGGGUAUGGCUGUUCGCCAUUUAAAGUGGUACGCGAGCUGGGUUUAGAACGUCGUGAGACAGUUCGGUCCCUAUCUGCCGUGGGCGCUGGAGAAUUGAGGGGGGCUGCUCCUAGUACGAGAGGACCGGAGUGGACGCAUCACUGGUGUUCGGGUUGUCAUGCCAAUGGCACUGCCCGGUAGCUAAAUGCGGAAAAGAUAAGUGCUGAAAGCAUCUAAGCACGAAACUUGCCCCGAGAUGAGUUCUCCCUGAGACUUUAAGUCUCCUGAAGGAACGUUGAAGACGACGACGUUGAUAGGUCGGGUGUGUAAGCGCAGCGAUGCGUUGAGCUAACCGAUACUAAUGAACCGUGAGGCUUAACCUUACAACGCCGAAG
This 2927-nucleotide ribosomal RNA is filed under the name Enterobacter roggenkampii. RNAcentral describes it as "bacterial LSU rRNA". It matches the Rfam family "Bacterial large subunit ribosomal RNA". Lineage: Bacteria; Pseudomonadati; Pseudomonadota; Gammaproteobacteria; Enterobacterales; Enterobacteriaceae. The record is from RNAcentral.